RNAcentral lists this unclassified non-coding RNA (337 nucleotides) under soil metagenome. Its description in RNAcentral is "partial contains 5.8S ribosomal RNA, internal transcribed spacer 2, and large subunit ribosomal RNA". The stretch from base 1 to 120 matches the Rfam family "5.8S ribosomal RNA", at positions 35 to 154 of the family's 154-position model. The record is from RNAcentral.
GAUGAAGAACGCAGCGAAAUGCGAUAAGUAAUGUGAAUUGCAGAAUUCAGUGAAUCAUCGAAUCUUUGAACGCACAUUGCGCCCGCCAGUAUUCUGGCGGGCAUGCCUGUUCGAGCGUCAUUUCAACCAUCAAGCCCCCGGGCUUGUGUUGGGGACCUGCGGCUGCCGCAGGCCCUGAAAAGCAGUGGCGGGCUCGCUGUCACACCGAGCGUAGUAGAUUUUAUCUCGCUCAGGGCGUGCUGCGGGUUCCGGCCGUUAAACCACCUUCAUAACCCAAGGUUGACCUCGGAUCAGGUAGGAAGACCCGCUGAACUUAAGCAUAUCAAUAAGCGGAGGA